This 492-nucleotide ribosomal RNA is filed under the name uncultured bacterium. RNAcentral's name for it is "partial 16S ribosomal RNA". It matches the Rfam family "Bacterial small subunit ribosomal RNA", at positions 29 to 507 of the family's 1533-position model. The record is from RNAcentral.
AGUGAACGCUGGCGGUAGGCCUAACACAUGCAAGUCGAACGGCAGCACAGUAAGAGCUUGCUCUUACGGGUGGCGAGUGGCGGACGGGUGAGGAAUACAUCGGAAUCUACUUUUUCGUGGGGGAUAACGUAGGGAAACUUACGCUAAUACCGCAUACGACCUACGGGUGAAAGCAGGGGAUCUUCGGACCUUGCGCGAUUGAAUGAGCCGAUGUCGGAUUAGCUAGUUGGCGGGGUAAAGGCCCACCAAGGCGCCGAUCCGUAGCUGGUCUGAGAGGAUGAUCAGCCACACUGGAACUGAGACACGGUCCAGACGCCUACGGGAGGCAGCAGUGGGGAAUAUUGGACAAUGGGCGCAAGCCUGAUCCAGCCAUACCGCGUGGGUGAAGAAGGCCUUCGGGUUGUAAAGCCCUUUUGUUGGGAAAGAAAAGCAGCAGGUUAAUACCCCGCUGUUCUGACGGUACCCAAAGAAUAAGCACCGGCUAACUUCGUG